CGGGUGAGUAAUGCUUGGGAAUCUAGCUUAUGGAGGGGGAUAACUACGGGAAACUGUAGCUAAUACCGCGUAGUAUCGGAAGAUGAAAGUGUGGGACCUUCGGGCCACAUGCCAUAGGAUGAGCCCAAGUGGGAUUGGUAGUUGGUGAGGUAAAGGCUCACCAAGCCGACGAUCUCUAGCUGGUCUGAGAGGAUGACCAGCCACACUGGGACUGAGACACGGCCCAG
Molecule: ribosomal RNA, 227 nt
Filed under: uncultured bacterium
Lineage: Bacteria
Description: partial 16S ribosomal RNA
Rfam family: Bacterial small subunit ribosomal RNA
Source: RNAcentral